UAUAUACUCCCUCCGUCCUAAAAUUAUUGUGUUAAAUUUAUCUAAAAAUAAAUGUAUCUAAAUACUAAAACGUAACUACAUACAUUCAUAUCUAGAUAAAUCUAAGACAAGAAUUUUGGGACGGAUGGAGUAUGAA
Non-coding RNA from Hordeum vulgare subsp. vulgare (domesticated barley), 136 nucleotides. NCBI's taxonomy places the organism in Eukaryota, Viridiplantae, Streptophyta, Magnoliopsida, Poales, Poaceae. The record is from Rfam.